UCCCUGGUGGCUUAGUGGUAAAGAAUCUGCCCGCCAAUGCAGGAGAUACAGGUUCGAUUCCUGGUCUGGGAA
RNAcentral lists this transfer RNA (72 nucleotides) under Ovis aries (sheep). It matches the Rfam family "tRNA". Rfam says of the family: Transfer RNA (tRNA) molecules are approximately 80 nucleotides in length. Their secondary structure includes four short double-helical elements and three loops (D, anti-codon, and T loops). Further hydrogen bonds mediate the characteristic L-shaped molecular structure. tRNAs have two regions of fundamental functional importance: the anti-codon, which is responsible for specific mRNA codon recognition, and the 3' end, to which the tRNAs corresponding amino acid is attached (by aminoacyl-tRNA synthetases). tRNAs cope with the degeneracy of the genetic code in two manners: having more than one tRNA (with a specific anti-codon) for a particular amino acid; and 'wobble' base-pairing, i.e. permitting non-standard base-pairing at the 3rd anti-codon position. Lineage: Eukaryota; Metazoa; Chordata; Mammalia; Artiodactyla; Bovidae. The record is from Rfam by way of RNAcentral.